UGGCCUCCCACUAACUGAUGACUUCUGUCU
RNAcentral lists this non-coding RNA (30 nucleotides) under Homo sapiens (human). Lineage: Eukaryota; Metazoa; Chordata; Mammalia; Primates; Hominidae. The record is from RNAcentral.